GCAGAUAUAGUUUCAACCCAAACAUUAGGCUGUGAUCCUAAAAAUAGAAGUUAGACCCUUCUUACCUGCC
This 70-nucleotide transfer RNA is filed under the name Haliaeetus albicilla (white-tailed eagle). RNAcentral's name for it is "tRNA-His". It matches the Rfam family "tRNA". Rfam says of the family: Transfer RNA (tRNA) molecules are approximately 80 nucleotides in length. Their secondary structure includes four short double-helical elements and three loops (D, anti-codon, and T loops). Lineage: Eukaryota; Metazoa; Chordata; Aves; Accipitriformes; Accipitridae. RNAcentral also lists the same sequence under 4 other names. The record is from RNAcentral.